CGGAGUGAGAGCGUACACAGGUGCUGCAUGGCUGUCGUCAGCUCGUGUCGUGAGAUGUUGGGUUAAGUCCCGCAACGAGCGCAACCCUGCAUUCAGUUGCCAUCGGUAAGGCCGGGCACUCUGGAUGGACUGCCGGCGACAAGCCGGAGGAAGUGGGGACGACGUCAAGUCAUCAUGGCCCUUAUGUCCAGGGCGACACACGUGCUACAAUGGCCGGCACAACGGGAAGCGAAGGGGCGACCCUGAGCGGAUCCCACAAAAGCCGGUCUCAGUUCGGAUUGCAGUCUGCAACUCGACUGCAUGAAGUUGGAAUCGCCAGUAAUCGUGGAUCAGCCAAGCCACGGUGAAUACGUUCCCGGGCCUU
This 364-nucleotide ribosomal RNA is filed under the name uncultured Thermovirga sp. RNAcentral describes it as "bacterial SSU rRNA". It matches the Rfam family "Bacterial small subunit ribosomal RNA", at positions 1018 to 1382 of the family's 1533-position model. Lineage: Bacteria; Thermotogati; Synergistota; Synergistia; Synergistales; Thermovirgaceae. The record is from RNAcentral.